AUUGAACGCUGGCGGCAUGCUUUACACAUGCAAGUCGAACGGCAGCACGAAAGAGCUUGCUCUUUUGGUGGCGAGUGGCGAACGGGUGAGUAAUGCAUCGGAACGUACCGAGUAAUGGGGGAUAACUAUCCGAAAGGAUAGCUAAUACCGCAUACGCUUUGAGAAGGAAAGUGGGGGCUCUUCGGACCUCACGUUAUUCGAGCGGCCGAUGUCUGAUUAGCUAGUUGGUGGGGUAAAGGCCUACCAAGGCGACGAUCAGUAGCGGGUCUGAGAGGAUGAUCCGCCACACUGGGACUGAGACACGGCCCAGACUCCUACGGGAGGCAGCAGUGGGGAAUUUUGGACAAUGGGCGCAAGCCUGAUCCAGCCAUGCCGCGUGUCUGAAGAAGGCCUUCGGGUUGUAAAGGACUUUUGUUAGGGAAGAAAAGGAUAGUGUUAAUACCAUUAUCUGCNGA
This 455-nucleotide ribosomal RNA is filed under the name uncultured bacterium. RNAcentral's name for it is "bacterial SSU rRNA". It matches the Rfam family "Bacterial small subunit ribosomal RNA", at positions 30 to 485 of the family's 1533-position model. The record is from RNAcentral.